This 332-nucleotide RNase P RNA is filed under the name Fimbriimonas ginsengisoli. RNAcentral describes it as "RNase P RNA component class A". It matches the Rfam family "Bacterial RNase P class A". From Rfam's summary of the family: Ribonuclease P (RNase P) is a ubiquitous endoribonuclease, found in archaea, bacteria and eukarya as well as chloroplasts and mitochondria. Its best characterised activity is the generation of mature 5'-ends of tRNAs by cleaving the 5'-leader elements of precursor-tRNAs. Cellular RNase Ps are ribonucleoproteins. The record is from RNAcentral. Lineage: Bacteria; Bacillati; Armatimonadota; Fimbriimonadia; Fimbriimonadales; Fimbriimonadaceae.
GGAGUCGGCCGGGUGGCGGCCCCGAUCGAGCUUCGGCAAGGUCGGGGAGGAAAGUCCGGACUUCACAGAGCGCGGCGCCCGGCGCAAGCCGGGGCAGGGCGACCUGACGGAAAGUGCCACAGAAACGACACCGCCGGCCCGCAAGGGCCGGUAAGGGUGAAAUGGUGAGGUAAGAGCUCACCGGCGUUGCGGGCAACCGCGACGCCGGGCAAACCCCGCCGGAAGCAAGGCCGAAUAGGGAGGGGUUGACGCGGCUCGCCGACCCUCCGGGUUGGCCGCAUAGACAAAUCGCCACACAAACACAGAAUCCGGCUUACAGACCGACUCCCAAA